This 253-nucleotide ribosomal RNA is filed under the name uncultured bacterium. RNAcentral describes it as "partial 16S ribosomal RNA". It matches the Rfam family "Bacterial small subunit ribosomal RNA", at positions 524 to 776 of the family's 1533-position model. The record is from RNAcentral.
UACGAAGGGGGCGAGCGUUGUUCGGAAUUACUGGGCGUAAAGGGCGCGCAGGCGGCUCUGAAAGUCGGAUGUGAAAGCCCCGGGCUUAACCUGGGAAUUGCAUUUGAUACUCUGGAGCUUGAGUACGGGAGAGGAGAGUGGAAUUCCCAGUGUAGAGGUGAAAUUCGUAGAUAUUGGGAAGAACACCGGUGGCGAAGGCGGCACUCUGGGCCGGUACUGACGCUGAGGAGCGAAAGCGUGGGGAGCAAACAGG